CCUACGGGGGGCUGCAGUGGGGAAUAUUGCACAAUGGGCGCAAGCCUGAUGCAGCCAUGCCGCGUGUGUGAAGAACGCCUUCGGGUUGUAAAGCACUUUCAGCGGGGAGGAAGGCGUUAAGGUUAAUAACCUUGUCGAUUGACGUUACCCGCAGAAGAAGCACCGGCUAACUCCGUGCCAGCAGCCGCGGUAAUACGGAGGGUGCAAGCGUUAAUCGGAAUUACUGGGCGUAAAGCGCACGCAGGCGGUCUGUCAAGUCGGAUGUGAAAUCCCCGGGCUCAACCUGGGAACUGCAUUCGAAACUGGCAGGCUAGAGUCUUGUAGAGGGGGGUAGAAUUCCAGGUGUAGCGGUGAAAUGCGUAGAGAUCUGGAGGAAUACCGGUGGCGAAGGCGGCCCCCUGGACAAAGACUGACGCUCAGGUGCGAAAGCGUGGGGAGCAAACAGGAUUAGAUACCCUUGUAGUC
RNAcentral lists this ribosomal RNA (465 nucleotides) under uncultured Klebsiella sp. RNAcentral describes it as "bacterial SSU rRNA". It matches the Rfam family "Bacterial small subunit ribosomal RNA", at positions 338 to 795 of the family's 1533-position model. Lineage: Bacteria; Pseudomonadati; Pseudomonadota; Gammaproteobacteria; Enterobacterales; Enterobacteriaceae. The record is from RNAcentral.